AUCUCUAAUGAUGAUUACCGUUAAAACUUUCUGAAUUAAUGUUGUGCUGAAAGUUAUGGAGACCUGAACUGAAGAGAU
Molecule: non-coding RNA, 78 nt
Organism: Daucus carota subsp. sativus
Lineage: Eukaryota; Viridiplantae; Streptophyta; Magnoliopsida; Apiales; Apiaceae
Source: Rfam